UUAUCAGCACUAAUAUAGCGAAGGUAUGGGGGAGAGAUAUUGUACUCAGCCUUACCCUUGCAUAUGCAAAGAGGCUGUUUCCGGAUUCGAACCCAUGACCAACAAGUCACCAAGGCACAACUUUACCGUUGCACCAUGGCUCGCCCUCAUUAAAGGAUAAUUAAAUAACUCACAAAAAAUUGUACACUAAAGGAUUAAGUCAGUAAUCAGUUAUGAGUAGUUAUAUUCCGUUACAAAUUUAGUUAAUUAGGUAGUUAGGAGUGUAGUUGUCAGUUAGAAGUAGUUAUAAAUAACUACUCUCUAUUUGCAUUACUAUGAGUAACUCUCUUCAAUUUUAGUAGUUCAUUAAUCAAUCUCUUCACUCUCUUCAAUUCUUCUUCUGCUACAAUGGAUCCAAUCUCGAUCAAACUGGAUGAUGACAAUUACCCAGCAUAGAAGGCUGAAGCCUUAGGAAAAAUCAAAGAAAGCAACCUUGAGAAGUUCAUCACAAUGACAGAUUCUGGAGGAAGGCUACCAAAGUCCAAUAAAGAAUACAAAUUCUGGAAGGAGCAGGAUCAGGUUCUUUAUAGGUGGCUUCUUGCAUCCUUGUCUACAAAGAUUCUUCACAGACUCGAAAUAUGUGAAUAUGCUUUGGAAUUGUGGAAGGCUAUAGAGGCUUAUUUCUUAGAUCUAGAAAAAAUUGAAGAGCUACGUCAACAAUAUAAAUCAGCAGCAGAUAUACUGAAAAAUGAAUGAUCACAAUCUGUUGCUUUAGUUAUUCUUUUUUGUUAAAGCAGAACUUGUUGAUGUGAAUUGGCUCUUUUCUUUUUCUUUUUCUUGAGUUCUGAUCCUGCUUAUAGUUUCAUCGGCUUAGGUUAAGGGAGGAAAUGCAAGUUACGAACCAUAGGGAUUCUUUUUUCUUUUAUGCAGAAACAUAAGGAUUGUUAUAAUAAAGGACAUACGACUGAAAAUUACUGUUAA
Molecule: long non-coding RNA, 960 nt
Organism: Glycine soja
Lineage: Eukaryota; Viridiplantae; Streptophyta; Magnoliopsida; Fabales; Fabaceae
Exons: 2
Source: RefSeq, a predicted model, not a curated record